RNAcentral lists this unclassified non-coding RNA (2205 nucleotides) under Leishmania donovani. RNAcentral's name for it is "gene:unknown". Lineage: Eukaryota; Euglenozoa; Kinetoplastea; Trypanosomatida; Trypanosomatidae. The record is from RNAcentral.
CAUGUUUUGCCCUCGUGCGAUGGAGGCCAAAAAGUCAACAAAAGCAGCGGUGCUAGAAAGCAGAGGUUCGCCUCUAGGACAAAACACCCGUGCAACGAGAGAUUUUUUCGAACAUUGCGAAGAUCUUUUUCAUCAUAUCAACUGGGGGGUUUCGAUCGAUCCGCAAAAAAUGCCGUUGCCAAAACGUAUGGUUCUUGGUAUGGGCCCUGGUGGUCCUAGCAAACCUGCGGCCGCAGAAUCCCAAACAAAUCGACCAGAAAAUCCGCCAAAAUAUAGCUGACAUUCAGCCACGUCUAAAAACCUUUAGCUUGGUUGUUCCUUUUUGAUUGCCAGCGCGCUAAACACCACCUCCUCUUCAGCACUGGGAAAAAGAGGCCCGCGCACAUUGUUCCGGCAACUGCCCCCCUUUGGCCCCAACAUUGGGUAGACUCUGCGCCAUAAUCUGCGCUGCGGGGCUUUUGGUGUCAAAAGCCGGCGGAAAAAAGACGCCUCACAGCAAUGCACGGCCCCAGCCAUUGGAUUCAGCCUUCGCCCAAAACGAUGCCAACCCGCCCCGCGUGUGGCUUUGCAUCUGCGCCAAUUUUGGCUGCCCCCACCAGGUGCACUCCUCGGGCUUAAAAAGACUUCUAGCCAGAGGGCGCUGGGGACAAAGUGGGGUAUGCCCCGGUUUGGCCGACAGCAUGCCAAUCAUCUGGAUGACGCGCGCGCCUUUACAGCCGCAGAUUGCCCCAGCAAAACGCCAUCCGGAACCGGGCCGCCUGGGUGGGUGGCGGUGGGUGGUUUUGGGGCCCCCUAGGCCGUGGGCGCUUCGGCGUUGGUGGUGGUGGGGGCUGCUUUUUUUCCCCGCUAUCUUGGGUUACCGCACCCUGGCGUUACGCGCGCGGGUCGCCCCAGACAUGUGGAUUUUGAUGCUGUGCUAAAAGAGUGCUUAUUCUGACCUUGGCUCGGGACGCUUUUUUUUUUCAGGUGAUCUGUGUGAGGGGGUUGUUUUUCGAAAAAUGUGAAUGCAAGAGUGCCGUUUCAACUGUGUCCAGGGCAUGCUGGGAAAGCGGGGCUAAGCGGAUUCGAACAGUUCAAUGUUGUGCUGGGGUUAAUCUGGCCGGAUCCAUUUGACACCUGGGAAGAUAUGGGGCGACGCGUAGGAAGAAAGGGGGGGGUGUGAUGAGAAACCCAGGGGGGUCAGCGUUCAGGUGACGCACCAAUUUUGGCGUGUUGUGAUCGGUAAUGCGGUGCUUGUUGGUUUCCACUGAGAUGAAGGAAAUGCAAGGAUAACUUUGCAAGUGCAAGGGGUAAGUGGUGAAUCCAAUAAAAUUGCAGGGAGGCAAAGGUGAGUGUGGUUGGUUAAUGUGCCAUUUCAAGGUGUGCUCUUUUUCCCGGGGGUAAGGGGCUGUAACCAAGCCUGCCUUUUUUUGUUUGCUGUGGGGGGUGGGGGUGCUCGUAGGAGCCCAGUGGGACCAGUGGGUUCUCCGCUUUUCAGCCUUUGAGCUUUUCGUUGUUUACGUUGCAGGGUUUGAUCUCGGAGCCGGUUCGCGCUUGGUGAAUAAGAGCGGUAUUACUUUCCUUCAUAUCAUUUGGGUCCGCUGCUCCUCUAAAAAGUUGUUCUCGGAAGAGGCCACCUUGGUAUUGACCAGCUGGUGGCUCACGAGCCCCCGUGGGAGGCCUAUGGGAUGUCCGCGUUUAUGGGCGGCUAGAGGCGGGCCGUAGGUUCCGUCAUAGUCCCUACCCUUUCGAGAAAGCAGAAGAAAAGAAGGUCCAAGAAGCUGCCGCUUUUAGGAUAAACCGUGGCAGGGUCAUCCGCAUUGCUGGUGGUGAUGAACCAGCCGGCGUAUAUUUCUGCACGUGAGUCGCCACGCUGCCACACUGCUGAGUGGCGACUCUCUAUCGAAAAACAUCGAUCUUUUUAUGUUCGCCAAGGUGGUGUGCUGAGCGCUUUCCUUGUGUGACAUGCGGAGGGCGAGGACCGAAAAUAUUGAUAACAUUGAUUCUCUAGUCAGAGAAAAGCCACUCACGCAUCUUUUCUUGCCUGCGCAGCGAGGUUGGCUGGAGGAAUAGCUGUUCUAGACACUAAACUCCUCUGCCAUCAUCAAGCACCAUCGCAAGUCGUGGCUACAGGUUGACAUUCUCGAUCGAGUAGUCUCGCAUCAUGGGCCGAUCCUCAAAGACCUCUCCACUUUCUCUGUGGCUUCACUUGAAACCCACUGAAAG